GACGAACGCUGGCGGCGUGCUUAACACAUGCAAGUCGAACGAUGAAGCUGGAGCUUGCUCUGGCGGAUUAGUGGCGAACGGGUGAGUAACACGUGAGAAAUCUGCCCUUGACUCUGGGAUAACUGCGGGAAACUGUAGCUAAUACCGGAUACUUUCCCUGGUGGGCAUCCACUGGGGAAGAAAGAAUUUCGGUCAAGGAUGAUCUCGCGGCCUAUCAGCUUGUUGGUGAGGUAACGGCUCACCAAGGCGACGACGGGUAGCCGGCCUGAGAGGGUGACCGGCCACACUGGGACUGAGACACGGCCCAGACUCCUACGGGAGGCAGCAGUGGGGAAUAUUGCACAAUGGGCGCAAGCCUGAUGCAGCAACGCCGCGUGAGGGAUGACGGCCUUCGGGUUGUAAACCUCUUUUAGUAGGGAAGAAGCGAAAGUGACGGUACCUGCAGAAAAAGCACCGGCUAACUACGUGCCAGCCGCCGCGGUAA
Molecule: ribosomal RNA, 484 nt
Filed under: uncultured bacterium
Lineage: Bacteria
Description: partial 16S ribosomal RNA
Rfam family: Bacterial small subunit ribosomal RNA
Source: RNAcentral